Trachemys scripta elegans is the source of this 618-nucleotide long non-coding RNA. RefSeq lists it as uncharacterized. The transcript is spliced from 3 exons. The record is from RefSeq and is a predicted model, not a curated record. Lineage: Eukaryota; Metazoa; Chordata; Testudines; Emydidae.
UCAAUGUUCAAGGUGUAGAGAGAUUCUGAGCAGGAGGAAGCCUGACUUUAUGCUGCAUUCGUUGUACAAAUGCAUUUGAGCACGGUGAAGUCCCACAUCCGGCAGCACCAGGAGGGCAUUGAGGAGGAAGGCCCUGGCUACACGACAGAUUCCCAGCAGGCGUAGAUAGAUUCCUCACCCCCGGGAAGAGGUGAUGACUCCUGUGCAGUGCUUCUCAGGAAGGUUGAAGUUUGAAAAGUGCGGUUUGCAGAAGGCUUUGCUGGACAGGCAGACUCAGGAGCUGCAUCUGGAAUGGGCCAUAGGGGAAGAAGGAACUAUGGUGUCUGGGGAACCCCAGCAGGUUGAGAUAAGCUGGAUAUAGAAACAAAGCAAGUCAAAGCCAAGCACAUUUGCUCAAUGAUAAUCAAUUAAUGGCUUCUCUUAAUUAGUUUCUUCCACUACCUUACAUAGUGGGAUGCCACCCAAAGAGACACACCAACCCAAGUAGGCAGCCUGGGAGGCUGUCAUCUUGGGGCUUUGAGGAGUAACAAUUGCUAUAGCACUACCGGAGAAGGUUCUUCCUAAGGAUUUGGCAAGCUCCAGUAUUCGGCUCAAAAGAGUGAGACCACAGGCUUUCCC